This is a long non-coding RNA of Lepidothrix coronata (blue-crowned manakin), 169 nucleotides long. RefSeq lists it as uncharacterized. NCBI's taxonomy places the organism in Eukaryota, Metazoa, Chordata, Aves, Passeriformes, Pipridae. The record is from RefSeq and is a predicted model, not a curated record. The transcript is spliced from 2 exons.
ACACCAGCUCCCGCGCCUCCACGCCAUGCCGGGCGGCGGGUCCCGGCCGCCCGAGCCGCCGCGGAGCUGAGAACUGCCAGAUAUAUACUGAAUCUUGCAUGUGUAAAGGACUACCUCUUUAUGACCUGGUCAUUAUCUUUGAAAAACUAUUGAAACCCUAGGAAAAUGG